This 513-nucleotide ribosomal RNA is filed under the name Grandivesica nr. agnew Msp386. RNAcentral describes it as "partial large subunit ribosomal RNA". The stretch from base 382 to 513 matches the Rfam family "Archaeal large subunit ribosomal RNA", at positions 2542 to 2674 of the family's 2987-position model. Lineage: Eukaryota; Metazoa; Arthropoda; Insecta; Hemiptera; Miridae. The record is from RNAcentral.
AUGGUCUUUUGUUUAUAUAAAAGAUCUGGCCUGCCCAAUGAUUUUUUAAUGGCUGCAGUAUUUUGACUGUACAAAGGUAGCAUAAUCAUUUGUCUCUUAAUUGGAGUCUGGAAUGAAUGGUUGGAUGAAAGGUUUACUUUCUUUAUUUUAAGUAUAAAAUUUAAUUUUUGAAUCAGAAAGUUUAAAUAUUAAUAUAGGACGAGAAGACCCUAUAGAACUUUAUUUAUAUAAAAUAUUUAUUAAUUUGUAGAUUAUAAAUAUAUAUUUUUAUAUAAAUUUUAUUGGGGUGAUAAAAAAAAUUUUUUAACUUUUUUUAUUUUUAUCAUUUAUAUAUGUAUUUUUGAUCCUUUAAUAGGGAAUAUAAGAAUAAGUUACCUUAGGGAUAACAGCGUUAUUAUUUUAGAGAGUUCAUAUUGAUAAAAUAGUUUGCGACCUCGAUGUUGGAUUAAAAUUAAUCUCAGGAGUAGAAUAUUGAUGAUUAAGUCUGUUCGACUUUUAAAUUUUUACAUGAUC